This 2703-nucleotide long non-coding RNA is filed under the name Solanum tuberosum (potato). RNAcentral describes it as "long non-coding RNA (STUB_LNC001560)". Lineage: Eukaryota; Viridiplantae; Streptophyta; Magnoliopsida; Solanales; Solanaceae. The record is from RNAcentral.
UAGAAGUAUCUCAACUAAGUACAUACAAGUUUACCCUUAAGAAUACCUUCAUUGGAACAAAAUUAACCUAACAAUAACUAAUAAAAUUGUCCAUCCGAUAGUUAAGGGUCUUAGAUACAACUUGUAAAGUUAUCCUCCCUUGCAAUUUACAGGCCAGUGAUAAAGUUGAAAUCAAUCAUUGUAGAUCAAAUUUCUUGGAGUUUUAGAGAUCAAACUCUCAACGUAUUGAAGCAUAACUCCCUAGAAAAUGAAAAAAUUAAGAAGAUUGAAAGGAUGACUCCAUUAACACACAAAUAAUCCUCAAGCACCAUUGUUUUUCAUCAAAGGGCAAUGAUCCCCUGUGGGAAGUCACCUAGAAUAAAAAUCGAGGGCGUAAGAAGAUCAGAUACCAUCCAAACAAAAAAAUUGAAUACGAAAAAGUAAAAAUGUCCAUGUAAAACUACAAUCUCGUUUAGAGGGGCAACCCAAUUCAGGCUCAGAAGUUGAAACUACUGUAUUAACAACCCAAAGGAGAAGUUAAGCAAUUUAACAACACAACAUAGUACUGACAAUCAAUUGUUUACUCAAAUUUCAGCAGUAAGAAAGGUAUUUAUAGUAAAUUUAUGAAGUAUUUUGAUGGUAUCCAUCUUCUUUUUCAAUUUGUAACUGUUUGCUAACUUGUAGAUUGAUGGAAUCACACUUGGAAAAGGAAUGAAUUUCAAAUAUGAAGUUUUGAAGAUCCACUCUGCCAUACAUGUAAAUAUUACCAUCAUAAGCAGCAACCAAAUUAAUCAUAAAGUAGUAAUACUAAUAAUUUAUCUGUGCAGGUCAAAUUUUUGAUAACAAAUGAGAGAGCACUUACAUGUGAAGAGAAGUGCAACCACGCUUGAGAGGCAAAACUCUUUUAGCGCCAGAUGUGUAGAUACCUAUAAUUUCUAAUGAUCAAAGUAUGAGCACCUAAUCCAAAAAAAUGUGUACAAUCAAGUAAAUUUUAUGUAUUUCGAUAAACAACACACAAAUUUAACAGCCAAGGAGAUAAUUUCCAUGAAAUUGUUUGGGGAAAGAUCACAUCUGUUAUUUCUGGAAAAAGCUCCACGAAUAUGUUCACUCUUCAACUUUAUCACCUCUGUCAACAACAACAACAACAUACCCAGUGUAGUCCCACAACUUGAUUGUCUAUGUCAAAUAGAGAUAUAUAUGUUUUCUCUCCACACUUAAGAAUCCAAAUGAACCAAAAGGAAAAAUCAGCUAGUAAAAAUUUGAAUUAUCUUUCAUGAAAUGUUUAAAUAACAAAUUUACUAAAGUAUUCUUGCAUAUAGAUCAAGUAUUAACCAUAUUUCUAGUGAGUUGCUGAGACUCGCACACAAAGGGAGAAUCAUGUUCAUCUAUGUCAUUACAAACAUACAGAGCAUCAAACUAUGAACACAAUGCUUUUGUGUCAUGAAUUUGUAGAUGCACUUCUCCUUGUUCUUUUGGUAAUCUUCACUGAAGAGUUGCUUUUCUUAUGAAAGCUUUUCAUUCAUCGAAAAUAUCUAUAUUCUUAAUAAAUAAAGGUACCAAUAUCUCAAAUAAUAAGAUAACACUUGUAUUGUUGAUGUGGCUUUCUAUCAUGUGUUUUGAGUUUAACCACAGGUUCUAAACUUCAUAAGACAGGUUAAUUCUCUUGCAAAAAUAAUUGAGAUGGCGUAAGAGGCUAGGGUAUAAAACUCAAAGGAUUGCUAACGUGGUGAACUCCCAGGAAGACACUUAAGGAACAUAAUAACAAAAGAACUAUGAUCAAAAUAAGAGUAUAGUUUUCUCCAAAAAUUCCAAUAAACUUAAAUUAUCAAGAACAAACACAAAACAAAAAAAGAUCCAUAAACAUAAUAAAGAAGCCUAAAGUUAUAGUUUAUCAAUAAAAUAAAAUAAAAAGCCUGAAGUAAUGACUGAAGAUUAUCCUAAGAUAGAGCAAGCUAAUAAAAUAAUGCAUAGUGAUAACUCGACAACCAUAAAUAAGAGAGAACAAAGAAUUCUGACUUGCAUGUUUUAGUAAAUAUUUCAUCAAAUAUAACAAAACAAAAGGCCACAAGGAGUCAUUAGGAUUAUUUGCUAAGGAGACCUAUGACUGGGAGGAUUCUCUAUUUGGUUAAUCAGUUGUACUAAUGCUUCGAUUGCAAAUGAAUUAUCUUACAUGUAAAGUCUAAGACAAAUUUAAAAGAUGAUAUGUUAGAAGCUCAAGUAAAGUCUAGUUGCAAAAUAUAGAUAAGUAGGAAGAUAAAUUUAAUAGUAGAAUAAUCAAUUACCUUUUAUUUGUCUAUAAUGUGCACGAUAACAUGGACAUUGGGUAGGUUAACAGCAAGCCAGUAUCUCACGGAUCAAAUUGCAAGCGGUGUUAAAUUUACCUGGACACAGAUCCACAACUAAAUCUUGAUAUCCUCACGGGUGGUCUCUAUUGCAGGUAACAAAAUCUUCUAUCGACGGUUAAAAAUGGACUUGAAAGUAACAGACUAUCACUAUGAGCUACUCUAGUAGUCAAACCUGAUAAAACCUGAAACCUUAGGAUAAACAUCUCGAAAUUCGACCAUUACAUAUGCAAUCGAGCUAACUGCAGAGGCAGAGGAGAACUUCCCUAAAAAUCCUAGAAUGCAUCAUCUGACCAGUAAUGACAAUAAUAUGAUUUCUCUUGAGCUCCUUAGGAAGUUGGUCGUGGAAUUCAACAAAAAAAUAAAGUGAAAACUUAAACGA